This 386-nucleotide long non-coding RNA is filed under the name Homo sapiens (human). RNAcentral's name for it is "non-protein coding lnc-LRRC10-3:2". The record is from RNAcentral. Lineage: Eukaryota; Metazoa; Chordata; Mammalia; Primates; Hominidae.
CCUCCGCCACUCUCUGACUGUCCUUUGCCUGUGCCAAGGUUUCUGGGAAGAACAGGAAGUUCAGGGAUGGCGGAAAAUGUUUGGCAGAUUCCCUGAGUCCAAAGCCGGAGCACCUGCUCCUGCCUGAGGGCAGAGAGGACUGAAAGAACUGGCAUGAAACCCAUUCUGCCUUCAAGUUUUGAGAUGCAGAGCUUUUAGUUCCUCUGCUAAUAGAGCCUCGUUUGAAUACUCUGCUUGAAAGGCAAAAGACAUCUGCCUCAACUUCAAUCAAGGAAAAAUAGAGCAACUGUACAGCAGGCAGAAUCUCUAUGAUGACUGGAAUUUUGUCUAUCAAUGGAUGUAAUUAAUCCUUUGGCUCGAGGGCAAUAAAAUUUUGUCUUAAAGUA